AACGAACGCUGGCGGCAUGCCUAACACAUGCAAGUCGAACGAGACCUUCGGGUCUAGUGGCGCACGGGUGCGUAACGCGUGGGAACCUGCCCUUAGGUUCGGCAUAACUCCCCGAAAGGGGUGCUAAUACCGGAUCAUGUCUUCCGACCAAAGAUUUAUCGCCUUUGGAUGGGCCCGCGUGGGAUUAGCUAGUUGGUAGGGUAAAAGCCUACCAAGGCGACGAUCCAUAGCUGGCCUGAGAGGAUGAGCAGCCACACUGGGACUGAGACACGGCCCAGACUCCUACGGGAGGCAGCAGUGGGGAAUAUUGGACAAUGGGCGAAAGCCUGAUCCAGCAAUGACGCGUGAGUGAUGAAGGCCUUAGGGUUGGAAAGCUCUUUUACCCGGGAUGAUAAUGACAGUACCGGGAGAAUAAGCUCCGGCUAACUCCGUG
Molecule: ribosomal RNA, 433 nt
Filed under: uncultured bacterium
Lineage: Bacteria
Description: partial 16S ribosomal RNA
Rfam family: Bacterial small subunit ribosomal RNA
Source: RNAcentral